GACGUAGGGGGCCAGCGUUGUUCGGAUUCAUUGGGCGUAAAGGGUGCGUAGGCGGCGCGGUAAGUCGGAUGUGAAAUCUCGGAGCUUAACUCCGAAACUGCAUUCGAUACUGCCGUGCUUGAGGACUGGAGAGGAGACUGGAAUUUACGGUGUAGCGGUGAAAUGCGUAGAUAUCGUAAGGAAGACCAGUGGCGAAGGCGGGUCUCUGGACAGUUCCUGACGCUGAGGCACGAAGGCCAGGGGAGCAAACGGG
RNAcentral lists this ribosomal RNA (253 nucleotides) under uncultured bacterium. RNAcentral's name for it is "partial 16S ribosomal RNA". It matches the Rfam family "Bacterial small subunit ribosomal RNA", at positions 524 to 776 of the family's 1533-position model. The record is from RNAcentral.